This is a long non-coding RNA of Ornithorhynchus anatinus (platypus), 762 nucleotides long. RefSeq lists it as uncharacterized. The record is from RefSeq and is a predicted model, not a curated record. The transcript has 4 exons. NCBI's taxonomy places the organism in Eukaryota, Metazoa, Chordata, Mammalia, Monotremata, Ornithorhynchidae.
GUCUCCUCCUGACAGAGCAAUUAAAACAUAUGAUUUAUUUACUAAACCGUCUAUGAGGAAGCCUUAGUAAUGAUGCCUGCUCUGACAGUUUCCCAUGUGGCUACCUUUAGGGAUCCUUUCAGAGUUAAGUGAUUAUUUCUGCUCCAGUGAUAUUUAAUGGACUUUGCAAAACUAAGUGGGGAACUGUCAACUGACCAAUUUCAAAAUGGAGCCUAGAAGGCCAGACUGGACUUUCUGAUUUCUAAAGUUACGCAGGUGAAUUAAUACUCCUCUGGAUAUCCUGGGCUUGACCAGGAUUUUGAGUUGGCAAGGACUACUACUUCUAGACUGCAGUUGGCUCAGAAAUGCUCCGGUGGUUAUAGAUCUGAACUCUCCGUCAAACUCCAUCUUCAAUUUAUUAUACUGGAUUCAAGUCUCUCAGGAGACUGGAACCAGGAGAAGGGACUCUGAAGAAAACACAGCAUGAAAACUAGAGAGCAGAUGAUCAGAUUAACCGCUAUUGGAUUUGUUCGCGGGGCCACAAUCUGACGGGAACAGGCUUGGUUCCAAGGCCUAUGGAGAUUUAAGCCAUCAACCUUCCCCCCCGCCCCCCGCCCCUUAUCCCAGUCACACUACUCUUUUCGUAAAGUCUCUCCCCUCUCCUCCCAUCAUCGUGGUGAUUUUUUUUUUUCUUACCCAUUUAAAGUCUUCUUCCAAAAGGAUGAGGUUAAUACUUCAGAGGCUUCAGAGGUGGCGCUAUCAGAUCGACUGAUGGAUUUCAAG